Callorhinchus milii (elephant shark) is the source of this 126-nucleotide long non-coding RNA. RefSeq lists it as uncharacterized. The record is from RefSeq and is a predicted model, not a curated record. NCBI's taxonomy places the organism in Eukaryota, Metazoa, Chordata, Chondrichthyes, Chimaeriformes, Callorhinchidae. The transcript has 3 exons.
UAGCGAUCAUUGUGUUUAUACUGGGAUUCUGUCUGUACAAGAGACGUAAACAGAAGAGUCCAAUGGCCGUACCCGCAGGAGGCGACCCCCAAAGCAGCACCGACACAUGUGAGUGAUAUCUUCCCC